ACUACGGGGUGCUGCAGUGGGGAAUAUUGCACAAUGGGGGAAACCCUGAUGCAGCGACGCCGCGUGAGUGAAGAAGUAUUUCGGUAUGUAAAGCUCUAUCAGCAGAGAAGAAAAUGACGGUACCUGAGUAAGAAGCCCUGGCUAACUACGUUCCAGCAGCCGCGGUCAUACGUAGGGGGCAAGCGUGAUCCGGAUUUACUGGGUGUAAAGGGAGCGUAGACGGCAGCACAAGUCUGGUGUGAAAUGCCGGGGCUUAACCCGGGAACUGCAUGAGAUACUGUGCAGCUAGAGUGCAGGAGAGGUAGGUGGAAUUCCUAGUGUAGCGGUGAAAUGCGUAGAUAUUAGGAGGAACACCAGUGGCGAAGGCGGCUUACUGGACUGUAACUGACGUUGAGGCUCGAAAGCGUGGGGAGCAAACAGGAUUAGAUACCCCUGUAGUC
Molecule: ribosomal RNA, 440 nt
Filed under: uncultured bacterium
Lineage: Bacteria
Description: partial 16S ribosomal RNA
Rfam family: Bacterial small subunit ribosomal RNA
Source: RNAcentral